AUGAACGCUGGCGGCGUGCCUAAUACAUGCAGGUCGAGCGAACAGACGAGGAGCUUGCUCCUCUGACGUUAGCGGCGGACGGGUGAGUAACACGUGGAUAACCUACCUAUAAGACUGGGAUAACUUCGGGAAACCGGAGCUAAUACCGGAUAAUAUAUUGAACCGCAUGGUUCAAUAGUGAAAGACGGUUUUGCUGUCACUUAUAGAUGGAUCCGCGCCGCAUUAGCUAGUUGGUAAGGUAACGGCUUACCAAGGCAACGAUGCGUAGCCGACCUGAGAGGGUGAUCGGCCACACUGGAACUGAGACACGGUCCAGACUCCUACGGGAGGCAGCAGUAGGGAAUCUUCCGCAAUGGGCGAAAGCCUGACGGAGCAACGCCGCGUGAGUGAUGAAGGUCUUCGGAUCGUAAAACUCUGUUAUUAGGGAAGAACAAAUGUGUAAGUAACUAUGCACGUCUUGACGGUACCUACUCAGAAAGCCACGGCUAACUACGUG
Molecule: ribosomal RNA, 496 nt
Filed under: uncultured bacterium
Lineage: Bacteria
Description: partial 16S ribosomal RNA
Rfam family: Bacterial small subunit ribosomal RNA
Source: RNAcentral